ACCCCCUGGCAUUGGGCAAAGAUGCACCUCACUGGUGGUGGUGUUCUUCUAUCAGUCGGGGGCAGAGCAGAUGGUGUCCUUUGUUCAUCCUAGCUUGAUGCCUGGCUUGGUGGCCAAAGCUGUUUCAUGCCUAGGGCACAUUA
Small nucleolar RNA from Nannospalax galili (Upper Galilee mountains blind mole rat), 143 nucleotides. The record is from Ensembl. NCBI's taxonomy places the organism in Eukaryota, Metazoa, Chordata, Mammalia, Rodentia, Spalacidae.